GACGAACGCUGGCGGCGUGCCUAAUACAUGCAAGUUGAGCGCUGAAGGUUGGUACUUGUACCGACUGGAUGAGCAGCGAACGGGUGAGUAACGCGUGGGGAAUCUGCCUUUGAGCGGGGGACAACAUUUGGAAACGAAUGCUAAUACCGCAUAAAAACUUUAAACACAAGUUUUAAGUUUGAAAGAUGCAAUUGCAUCACUCAAAGAUGAUCCCGCGUUGUAUUAGCUAGGUGGUGAGGUAAAGGCGAAACAAGGCGAUGAUACAUAGCCGACCUGAGAGGGUGAUCGGCCACAUUGGGACUGAGACACGGCCCAAACUCCUACGGGAGGAAGCAGUAGGGAAUCUUCGGCAAUGGACGAAAGUCUGACCGAGCAACGCCGCGUGAGUGAAGAAGGUUUUCGGAUCGUAAAACUCUGUUGGUAGAGAAGGACGUUGGUGAGAGUGGAAAGCUCAUCAAGUGACGGUAACUACCCAGAAAGGGACGGCUAACUACGUGCCAGCCGCCGCAGUAA
RNAcentral lists this ribosomal RNA (513 nucleotides) under uncultured bacterium. Its description in RNAcentral is "partial 16S ribosomal RNA". It matches the Rfam family "Bacterial small subunit ribosomal RNA", at positions 28 to 523 of the family's 1533-position model. The record is from RNAcentral.